GAUACUGGCGGACGGGUGAGUAACACGUGGGUAACCUGCCUGUAAGACUGGGAUAACUCCGGGAACCGGGGCUAAUACCGGAUGCUUGUUUGAACCGCAUGGUUCAAACAUAAAAAGGUGGCUUCGGCUACCACUUACAGAUGGACCCGCGGCGCAUUAGCUAGUUGGUGAGGUAAUGGCUCACCAAGGCAACGAUGCGUAGCCGACCUGAGAGGGUGAUCGGCCACACUGGGACUGAGACACGGCCCAGACUCCUACGGGAGGCAGCAGUAGGGAAUCUUCCGCAAUGGACGAAAGUCUGACGGAGCAACGCCGCGUGAGUGAUGAAGGUUUUCGGAUCGUAAAACUCUGUUGUUAGGGAAGAACAAGUACCGUUCGAAUAGGGGCGAUACCUUGACGGGUACCUAACCAGAAAAGCCACGGCUAACUAACGUGCCAGCAGCCGCUGGUAAUAC
Molecule: ribosomal RNA, 455 nt
Filed under: Bacillus subtilis
Lineage: Bacteria; Bacillati; Bacillota; Bacilli; Caryophanales; Bacillaceae
Description: bacterial SSU rRNA
Rfam family: Bacterial small subunit ribosomal RNA
Source: RNAcentral